This 308-nucleotide long non-coding RNA is filed under the name Arabidopsis lyrata. RNAcentral describes it as "long non-coding RNA (ALYR_LNC000506)". The record is from RNAcentral. Lineage: Eukaryota; Viridiplantae; Streptophyta; Magnoliopsida; Brassicales; Brassicaceae.
CCUCUCGGAAUUCAAGAUAUUUUAUUGAACUUGACCAGUUGGGAGUUCGAUUCAGUUCACUAAAAGAGUUCGAUCUUUACCAGCAUGGAGUUCGCUCUUAUUCAACAUACAGUUCGCAUAGAGAAAGGCCGAAGAGAGGAGAAUAUUGUUCAGAGCUCGCAGUAGCAUCAAAGCGCGGGAGUUCAGAGUCAACAAGAAAGAGUUCGGAAAGCCCAUGUGAAGCCCAAGAUAGUUCAAAUUCGAGCCGUUUCGGUCAAAAUUAUAACUUACAUGAUUAAUGCGGAUCAAUAUAAUUAUGUACAGUGAAU